This 309-nucleotide unclassified non-coding RNA is filed under the name plant metagenome. RNAcentral describes it as "partial contains 5.8S ribosomal RNA, internal transcribed spacer 2, and large subunit ribosomal RNA". The stretch from base 1 to 105 matches the Rfam family "5.8S ribosomal RNA", at positions 50 to 154 of the family's 154-position model. The record is from RNAcentral.
GAAAUGCGAUAAGUAGUGUGAAUUGCAGAAUUCAGUGAAUCAUCGAAUCUUUGAACGCACAUUGCGCCCCUUGGUAUUCCAUGGGGCAUGCCUGUUCGAGAGUCAUUUGUACCCUCAAGCUCUGCUUGGUGUUGGGUGUUUGUCCCGUCUCCGCGCGUGGACUCGCCCCAAAGUGAUUGGCAGCCGGCGUACUGGUCCCGGAGCGCAGCACAUGUCGCGCAAACGAGUGCCUUGGUACGGCGGCGUCCAUAAGCCCCUCUCUCACGCUCUUGACCUCGGAUCAGGUAGGAAUACCCGCUGAACUUAAGC